Molecule: ribosomal RNA, 460 nt
Filed under: uncultured bacterium
Lineage: Bacteria
Description: partial 16S ribosomal RNA
Rfam family: Bacterial small subunit ribosomal RNA
Source: RNAcentral
CCUACGGGUGGCAGCAGUGAGGAAUAUUGGUCAAUGGGCGCGAGUCUGAACCAGCCAAGUCGCGUGAAGGAUGACGGCCCUACGGGUUGUAAACUUCUUUUAUAAGGGACUAAAAUAAGCCACGUGUGCCUUUUUGUAUGUACUUUAUGAAUAAGGAUCGGCUAACUCCGUGCCAGCAGCCGCGGUAAUACGGAGGAUCCGAGCGUUAUCCGGAUUUAUUGGGUUUAAAGGGAGCGUAGGUGGGUUGUUAAGUCAGUUGUGAAAGUUUGCGGCUCAACCGUAAAAGUGCAAUUGAAACUGGCAGUCUUGAGUACAGGUGAGGUAGGCGGAAUUCGUGGUGUAGCGGUGAAAUGCUUAGAUAUCACGAAGAACUCCGAUUGCGAAGGCAGCUUACGAAACUGCAACUGACACUGAUGCACGAAAGUGUGGGUAUCAAACAGGAUUAGAUACCCUUGUAGUC